AAACAUAACACUAAUUUAUCAAAGUACCUAACAUUAUAUAAGAAAGUCAAAUAUGAUUCACUAGAAAUUCUUAAACUUUACCAUCAAAAUAAACUUACUUCAAAUCCUAAAUUUUUCUUAACCAACAAAGAGUCUUUAAUAAUACUAUAGAAAGCAUGAUUAAAAUAUCCUAAGCACCACACACAUCCAUCACGCAUCUCCCUGCUCCUCUCCUGAAAAGUUUUAAAUAAAAUGGGGUGAGUAUUUUAAAUAUACUCAGUGAGGGGGAAUUCAUAACUAACUUUUACUUUGUCCAAACGUGCAACAUAGCAUAUGAAAUAUAAAAUCAUAACUUCAACCAUAAACCAACAACUUGCUCAAAUAACAAGAGAGGAAAUAUGGGACAUAACUUCAACCACAUUUCAAUACAACACUUAAGGAAGUAUGAACACAUGGGACAUAUCACUUCAACUGUGCACAGGAACAUAAACUUGGCAUAUUGCUAUAUGCUCACAUCAUAAUCUCAUUCAUAAAUCAUAGCAUAUGUAAACACGUUGGACAUAAAAUAACUUUCACAAUAAAUAACUUAAACAUUUUCUUGUGGAAUUUAACUUGAAAUAAAAGAAUUUUCUUUAUUUUACCCACCUCGAACCUUUGAUAGCAAACUUGACUAACACUUAACUCGGGGAUAGAGAUCCUAAUUGCGCCGCACCUAAUCACAUAAAUAUAAUUACUUCAAUAUGGGCCUAACUAAAACUUUAACUAAAAAUUAUACAGACAAAACUAUAUAUAUUCAUAUAUAUAUAUAUAUAUAUGUAUAUAUUCUAAAAAAAUAUGGAAUCAUUGACAAAAAUAAACAUAAAUAUAGUUAGACUAGGAAUCUGUAAACCUUUGUAAAUCAAAUAAAAUAUUUAUACAAAAUUUGCGACAACCAGUUACCCAAAUCAAAUAAGUAUAACUGAUUCAAUUACUUGAUCCAUCCAAACUUACGUAUACUAACUGAACUCUGGCCUCAUAAUGACUCUAACUUUGUGAAAAUCUAACAACUAAUUUAAAAUCUCUUUUAACAAACAAAACCCGUAGGCCACUAUGUGAAAAUAAGUUAUGCUCAUCUGGAGACUAAUAGCUAGAUUUUUGAAAUAAUAAUAUUAAUAUAAAAUUCAAAACAAAGAAUUUCAAACCAACAUCAACGCCAUACAUAAAUUUUCUCCAAGCUUUAUUGAAAUUAAAAUUAUUUGUGACAUCAUUGUCUCCCAAAUUCGCAUUUUACCAAACAAAAACUAGUUUUAGAAGGUUUCAUAGAAUAACAAUAUAAUAGUAAUAAUUAUCUUCGUAUUAAUAACUAGUCUAAACUUACUGUAUGAAAGCAAAACAACCCAAUACUAAUCAAAUAACGUCUUUCUUGACAAUUGAAGAUUAAAAGAAUUUGAAGAAUCGUAAGUAUUCAACCUAAUCAGAAAACUAAUUCCGAAUCAUACUAAAUUUGAGAAAAACUCACAAAUCAAAUAAAGUUAGAAUUUAAUCUUACAAGAAUUCUUGAUUUCUUGGCAGCAACUAAAACUUGAAUACUUGAAGAACUUUAACAAAGAAGGUUUUUCAGAGUUUUUUGAAUGGUUGUGAAACGAAAGGAGAAAAUAGCAGAAUAUAAAGUUGGAGAAUGAGAAUUUUCAGAUGAUCAGUUUGUGAAAACCGUCUGUGCAAGUCUUCAGAAAAGAAGAGGGAAAAGCGGAACGG
This 1713-nucleotide long non-coding RNA is filed under the name Salvia miltiorrhiza (redroot sage). RNAcentral's name for it is "long non-coding RNA (SMIL_LNC008434)". Lineage: Eukaryota; Viridiplantae; Streptophyta; Magnoliopsida; Lamiales; Lamiaceae. The record is from RNAcentral.